AACGAACGCUGGCGGCAUGCCUAACACAUGCAAGUCGAACGAGACCUUCGGGUCUAGUGGCGCACGGGUGCGUAACGCGUGGGAACCUGCCCUUAGGUUCGGAAUAACUCCCCGACAGGGGUGCUAAUACCGGAUAAUGUCUUCGGACCAAAGAUUUAUCGCCUUUGGAUGGGCCCGCGUUGGAUUAGCUAGUUGGUAGGGUAAAAGCCUACCAAGGCGACGAUCCAUAGCUGGUCUGAGAGGAUGAUCAGCCACACUGGGACUGAGACACGGCCCAGACUCCUACGGGAGGCAGGAGUGGGGAAUAUUGGACAAUGGGCGAAAGCCUGAUCCAGCAAUGCCGCGUGAGUGAUGAAGGCCUUAGGGUUGUAAAGCGCUUUUACCCGGGAUGAUAAUGACAGUACCGGGAGAAUAAGCUCCGGCUAACUCCGUG
RNAcentral lists this ribosomal RNA (433 nucleotides) under uncultured bacterium. RNAcentral describes it as "partial 16S ribosomal RNA". It matches the Rfam family "Bacterial small subunit ribosomal RNA", at positions 29 to 507 of the family's 1533-position model. The record is from RNAcentral.